Molecule: RNA transcript, 1755 nt
Organism: Syzygium oleosum
Lineage: Eukaryota; Viridiplantae; Streptophyta; Magnoliopsida; Myrtales; Myrtaceae
Exons: 3
Source: RefSeq, a predicted model, not a curated record
UAUUUAGACACGUUUAAUGUUAGACAAAAUAAAGAUUUUAAACCGACAUGAAAUGGGUAAAAUGAAACUCUCCCUCGAGUGAAAGUGGUGCUUUAUACGUGCAAUGUAUGAUAUUGAUGGAGUCACGUCAAACAAAUAACCGGGAAAAAGGAAAAUAGACAUAAUAACAAGUUGGGAAAAAUUGAGAGAGAGUGCCGGAAUUUGAACUCUCGAUUUGUUCUUUGGUAUCAUGUUAGAUAAAAUAGUAUUUAUAAAAGCUUAAAUUAUUAGGAAAUGAGUAAAACGAUGCAUGUGUAGCAUAUUAUUAACAUUUACAUUGCGUACGUAAUGGUUUAAUAUUCUCUUUGCUCAUCUAGCUGCUAGGUUUAUGAUACAGUGAUUCAAUAUAUUUUUGUGUAUGCGUGAGGUGGAAAGUUUGAUCCCUCUAAUCUUUUUAGGAAAAUGAUCAAUUUAUGAGCUAAUUGGCCACACUAUCUUAAAAUAAGAAAGUCCCACUUGAUAUUGGUAUGUAUAAUUUAGGGGCAUGGGCAUGGAGAUGUCGACUACUCGAAGAGAGGUGAGCUGAUUAAACUUAGGCCUUUGACCGGUGCAAAUGGUCAUAAUUUAGAAUGUUUUGCACAUGUUUGGUGGGAUUCAAACAGAUGACCUCCAAUUCUUAAACUGGAAAUCCCCUAACAUCUCAACCGACUAUGCCAACAUUGAGAUUAUACUUAUUGAUUUUUUCUAUCUGCAAAAUGGUAGGGAGGGCCGACCAGCGCAACUGAGGCAUUACCAUAAGGUAGUAUUUUUUGCUGUAAUGAGAUCACACGUAUCAUUCUUGGAAGAUUUGACUAUACCCAUUUUGCUGGAGAACCGUAGAGCACUGAUGCCUUCACUGAAUGGUGGGUUGAAUACCGAGCAUUUCUUUUUCAUUGCAUGUCGACGUGGUGAUGUCGAAAAUCACUCAUUUUCUCCCUAGACUGAAUCAUCCAUUCGAGAGACCUUGUGAUAUGAUGUACAGCUAUGAUGACCUUUCUUCGGAAUAUCCAUCUGAUAAAGGUAUCAGCUUUAACAAUCAAUACCUAUAUAAUUUGCUUAGUUAUUCUUUACCUUAACUUUUAUCCUCUAUUGUCUUUGUCUUGCAGACAUGAGCAUCACAUCUCGCAAAAGAAAGGUUGAGAAUUACAUCAGUACCCCUGUUGAAGUCGAUCCUGAAACUCAUAUCUCAAUCUCCGAUACCAGUUCAUCUCCACCGAGGCGCAUCUUUGAAUGUCUGGCAAUGGAGUAUGCUGUCGAGGAGUUAGCUCAUUCUUUUGACUUAGCUUUGACAUCCUAUAAGUUCGACAGGAUCACAUCGAUGCCUUUGACAAGCUGGAAAAAUCAUACCUAGAUAGGCACGAGGAUUUGGAUCGAAAACAUGCUAUCCUUGCAUGUUAUCAGGCAGUCGAUGAUGUUCCAUUGCAGCAUCUGGCUGACCAACUCAAACAAGUGGAUCAAUUGGAGAUUACAUGCCUGGCUAUGGAAGAUGAGCUUUAAGAGGCCACCUCUGAAAAAGAUCAGUUCUUUAAGGCUAAUUGUAACCUGAAGACGCAUGUAUGCAACUUUUGUCUAAGGAUUGAGCAACAUUUCAUGUAACCAUAGAUUUAGCUCAUCUUGUACAUAUUCUAUGUUGCCAUAUAUUAGGGUCUUUGCUUUUAUUUAAGUCUAUGUGUAUUCCUUAUCCUUGUAUAUAUGCAACUUUCUUUUUCACUAAAUAUGCUCGAUCAAGGAACUUCA